Molecule: long non-coding RNA, 399 nt
Organism: Heterocephalus glaber (naked mole-rat)
Lineage: Eukaryota; Metazoa; Chordata; Mammalia; Rodentia; Bathyergidae
Source: Ensembl
AGUUCCAGGAGUGAUGCUGGGGUUUGGCCCCAGGGCCUCUUUGACUUCUUGUUGAUAAAUGCGGUCCCGCUCCUCAGUGGUGAACAGGAUCUGUAAAAGCUCCUGGCAAUCAUCCCAGGGUCUCGUUAUGUACUUUGGGCUGGCCUUGAACUCAUGGUGAUCCUUCUGCCUCAGCCUCCUGAGUUCUGGGAUUACAGUGUCCUAGGAACAACUGAUGACUCAAAAAUAUAAUGAGACGAAUCAUUUGAUGGGAGAAAUCCAACACUAGGCUGAAAAAUAAAUCUCAUUUCAAGGAGGAGGUCUCUCGCUAACAAAGAGAAGGGCUGAUGAAAUGGAGGGGAGGAGGUGUCAAAUCCCUUGUUCCUUACUGAAUAACUACUUGGUAAUCAGACUUCUAAA